AAUAUACAGAAAUGCGCGAGGCGGUGGUUGGUUUUCGUUUCUUCUUGGUGGUUGUGGGCAUGCAGUGGAAUUGUUGAGAGUGCGUGUGUGAGCUAUGGACAGUGUUGACUUCUGAGUGUGGUCUUCCAGGCGACAGGUUGUGUGUCCCAAGUGUGAUGGUGCUUGUGCUGUUCGGUGUAUAGAUUUGGAUUCUCCGAGGCCCUUCUGCGUUUUCAUCGUUGUAGAUACAAUUAUGCUCGUUUGCCUUCUCGACAUGCUGGAAGCUGAGCAGCGUUCGCGGAGGCCCGCGCCUUCAAGCCGGUAGCCGCCAGCUUCGGUUCCCGCGGCACUCAGGCUUCGUCCAUUUCUGGUCAGUUUCACGGGUACGGCCGCCGGGGUCUGCGGGAGAGGCCAGGAAAAGACAAUGGGCGCAUUCUCCAGGCCUCGCGCCUCGGGUGGGGACUUCGGGAUCAUCUCCAAGGAACAUUUUUCCACCCCUUCCCCUGGUGAGCCACAUUCCCGCGUGGGUCAGAUACCCCGUCGCAUCGAUGACCAGGGCCGGGCUAGGUCAGCGCUGCCCUAGCUCUGAAAGAAAGGAUUUUGUUUUGCCAGUGGUUGUGGUUGCUAAUGUCAUCAUCACCAUCACAGUCAUCGUCAUCACCAUCAUAUUUUAAUUAAAAUAGUCAUGUAGGAGCGACUAGUCCCUUUUAGCUUCUUUGGGGCGCUAACAAAGCAGCGGGGGUUUCCUCCCACCAGCGCUCUGUUUUUUAAGUUGCUGGGUUUGUGACUAGGAGAGACAUGGAGAGACUCCAUCCUAAAGCAAAAAUUAACCCCGACCUAAGACACCGGGCACAACUGGAUUUCCCCUUGUUCUCACCCCUCCCCCCUUUUGAAUUAGAAGAGGAGAAAGAAAAUCUGCAUUGGAUUGAAACUGCAGGGAACAGUUAUUACUGUAUUUUCACUAAAGCCAGGGCAAAAAAAAGAGGUGGCAUUAGCUAUUAAUCCAAGACUUCGAUGUGUGGCCAUAA
Molecule: long non-coding RNA, 1007 nt
Filed under: Capra hircus (goat)
Lineage: Eukaryota; Metazoa; Chordata; Mammalia; Artiodactyla; Bovidae
Description: lncRNA (ENSCHIG00010004431.1)
Source: RNAcentral